Long non-coding RNA from Panicum virgatum (switchgrass), 839 nucleotides. RefSeq lists it as uncharacterized. The record is from RefSeq and is a predicted model, not a curated record. The transcript is spliced from 2 exons. Lineage: Eukaryota; Viridiplantae; Streptophyta; Magnoliopsida; Poales; Poaceae.
CUCUCGCUCGUCUUUCCCCACUCUACAUUACUUCGAGGCGACCGGCGGGCGAUUCUCGAUCCCGGCCCGUUCCUGCCGAUUCCUCCCCUCUGGUGCCCUCAUCGGCAUCGGAGGGUGUGGAAUCGGCAAGGAAUCGUGGCCGGUUGUCCAUACCUUCUAUCUAUAGCUUGUAGUUACUAGCUUAAUAGGUUAGGGUUAGAGUUCCUCAUGGCAAUUUGGUCGUUUGGGGAUUUUGGUUCCUUGCCGGCGGCGGGUCUCUGGCGCAGGGUGAGGAGGAUCUCCCUCCGAUGCAGCGUCAUCCUAAUUAAUGCUGCAGUUGGGAGGUUCAUCUUCCUCCUAGAUGGAGACGAAGAGGAAGGCGUCAUGGACGUCGAUCUUUCCUCUGCUCCGUCUCGGAGGUACCCUUCUCCUGGUGGCUUUGGGCUUAUGCCACUGGUGUUUUUGUCCCUCCUGAGCAUCUUCGGCAGCUGCGCUUGUGGCGUCGCGACUGCUGGAGCGGCUUCUGUGAGCGAGCCGGGGUUGUUGGUGAUUGAGACGCCAGAUCCCUUGUUCACCGGCGAGAUGAUGGCCUUUGGUCAUCUCGAUUGGCAUGUUCGUUCAGUGAUCAAAAGGCAUGUCGGUCUCCCUGAUGUGCUGCUUAUGGUGCCGCUAAAAUUAUCUGCUGUUCUUCGUCGGUAUGGCGGUCGGCUUCACGGGCGGCAGCUUCGAUCGUCGGCGACGAGGCAGACCGGGAGUAUCUUGCAAGGGCGUGGAUGUAUUUUGUAUUUCUUUCAGAGUUGCCUUUGUAAGUUUGGAAAUGUAAGCUACCAGAAAUUUAAGUGAAUAUAAUCCCGGUUUCU